AUGAAGCAUAUUGUAAAGAUUUUGACGUUGGUAAUUGCCAUCACUGCUUUAUGGAUUGGCCUUCUACAAACUUCUAUCAUACCACAAAGUCAUACUUGGUUGCUACCAAUCUAUUUUGUCGUGUCUUUAGGAUGUUACGGUCUAUUAAUGGUUGGAGUUGGUCUGAUGAAUUUUCCUACAUGUCCUCAGGAAGCUCUGUUGUUGCAAAAGGAUAUUGUUGAGGCCAAGGAAUAUUUGAAUCAAAGAGGAGUUGAUGUUAGCACCAGCUGA
Molecule: non-coding RNA, 270 nt
Organism: Vicia faba (fava bean)
Lineage: Eukaryota; Viridiplantae; Streptophyta; Magnoliopsida; Fabales; Fabaceae
Source: the annotation of a GenBank genome assembly